RNAcentral lists this ribosomal RNA (3000 nucleotides) under Ambystoma mexicanum (axolotl). Its description in RNAcentral is "eukaryotic LSU rRNA". The stretch from base 1684 to 2994 matches the Rfam family "Eukaryotic large subunit ribosomal RNA", at positions 1891 to 3399 of the family's 3401-position model. Lineage: Eukaryota; Metazoa; Chordata; Amphibia; Caudata; Ambystomatidae. The record is from RNAcentral.
CAUGUGAGACCCUAUGGAGUAAAAGACCCCAUAGCCCAUAGAACACAUUGACAUUUGAAAGAAUUACACACAUACAUGCCAAGAGUGGGAGAAAAGAGUCUCUCUCUUGGCAGGAUGGAAAAAAAACAAACUCCAGAAAUCCAGCAAACCUGCUGGGGGACUCACUAGGUUAGGAAAUUCACCUAAACAGAGAAUUCUCCCUAACAUCUCCCACCCAGCUGCCUGGGCGUUGCCUGCUUGGCACACAGCAGGGGUAAUUUUGGCAGGGUGCCUGGGGCCUUCCUGCCUGGGACCAUUGGUGUGCAUUGCACUACCAUAUGCUGCUCUCCGGGCCCAGCCAUCCUGUAGUUGGCAAUAUGAAUGGAUGGAAGAACCAGAUGGCUGGCCUAUUCUGGAAUUCCAGAUUGGCACAAAUUCAUUUAUUUACUCCAUUGGGUCUAUAAAGAGACCUCCCCCUUCGGCACCCAGGGUAUACAGACAACAAGAAAGCUUAGUCACCUUCUCCAGAGUACUGUAGACAGUGUGUGUGUGGAUCCUGUCUGUGCCCCAAUUACUUCUCACUGCCCAACCCAUGCCCUGUGGUGAAAGCACAGCUCUCCACUAAGCUGGUCAUGGGCCAUGACCGACACAAUGUCCUGCACUGCUGGGGGUUCCCUGCCAGCACACAGCUAACGGCGGUUUGGUAAACAAAGUCCAACUUUCUUCCCUGUCCAUGUGCCUCCCUGCACUCUACGGGAUCUAUUUGGUGCUCUUUGACUGUCUAGGAUUGGUCUGGGUGGCCAGAUUCAGCUUCUGUCUUAAGCAAUUGGUUUCUAAAUGCCUUGGGCCGUGUCAAGGGUAUGCCCUCUCUGGCAGAGCCCCCUUAUGCGAGUGGCUACCUCUUCUAAGGACAUCAAAGGCCGAGCAGCCUGGCAAUUCACUAGUAGUCAGAUCAGAGUAGACGUGGUUAGCUGGUGUAAGCCAUGCUGUUGCCCAUUCUCCACCAAGCAUGUUUCUAACAGCAUUUCAGAAUGACCGUUCCGUGGUGUGUCAACUCACCCUGUCACCACCCAGAGGUGGCAUGUGGAGAAACUCCUCUCACUUGAAGUUGUGCCUGGCCCAGCCUCUCCCCUUCCAACCCUCCCCAGGAGAAGGCUGGGCAGCUGGUUCCCAUGUGGUUGACCUGUCCACUUCCCCAAGAUUUUGGUGGGGCGGGGACACUCUGUUGAAUGAAGUAUGGACUCAAGGCAAACGUAAGGCUCCCCCUGUUGCCAACCUCCAGCAGGUGCGGCUACCUGGUUGAUCCUGCCAGUGCCAUAUGCUUGUUUCAAAGAUUGAGCCAUGCAUGUGUUAGUGCGCAUGACCAGUGCAGUGACGCUGCAUAUGGCUCAUUGAAUUAGUGAUAGUUCCUAUGAUGGCACCAGCAGUAACUUGGAUAAAUGUAGUAAAUCUACAGUGAAUACAUCCUCACAAAUGCUUACCUCCCGGAAUGUGUGCAUUCAUCAGACCAAGACCAAACCGGCCUUGCGCGCCCCUUAUGGUGACUGUAACUGAGCUUGGUCACAUGAUCUAUCAAUGUGAUAGCAACAAUACAUUCUAAUGUCUGCCCUAUCAAAUUCCGAUGGUCCUCCUGGCCUUGCAUGGUGAUCACAGGUAGUGGGAAUCAGGAAUCAAUCCCAGAAAGGAAGCCUAAAAAUCUGUUACCACAUCCAAGGAAGGCAGCAUACGUGGCAAAUUGCCCAACCCUAUUUCGGGGAGUUUGUAAUGAGAAUGAACGAUUCAUGUCUCUUUCGAGGCCCUGUAAGUGCAAUGUGCAAACUUCAAAUCCUUUAAUGAGGAUUCAUUGGAGGGCAAGUCUGGUGCCAGCAGCCACAGAAUUUCCAGCUACAAUAGCGUAUGUGAAAGUUGCUGCACUUAAAAUUCAAUGUAGUGCGAGUAAACAGCAGCGUAAUUAUGACUCUCUUAAUGUGUCCAAAAACGACAUCAUCUCAUUGGUGACACACAUGAAUGGAUGAAUGGGAUUCACACUGUCCAACCUACCAUCUGGUGAACCACAGCAAAGGAUAUAUGCUUGGCUGAAUCAGUAGGUAUAGAAGACCAUGUGGGCUUCACUCUAGUAUGGCACUGUGAGGAGACAUGGGAUGUGUAGGAUAGGUAGGGGGGUGAAAUAAAACUACGGUUAUCAUGUUUUACUUGCACAGAGAGGCGGGUGGGGAAAGCCUGGUGGGGCUGUCAGCUCCAGUCGGGCUGAACCUGGUCUGGGGACAUUGGCAGGUGGCUAGUUUGACUGGGGCAGUACACCUGUCUGACGAUAACACAAAGUGUCCUAAGGCAAGCUCAGGCAGGACAAACACAUCGGCUGAGACGAAGGGCAGAAGUAUGCUGGAGCUCAAUUUUAUGUAUCUAGACAGACAAUGUAAGCAGGGCCUCAUGAUCGUUCUGACUUUUUUGUGUUCCAGCAGUAGCAGUCAGACAGUGACCACAGGGAUAACUGUCUUGUGGGAGCAAAUAAUUCAUAGCAACUUCGCAUUUUUGAUCCUUCCAUUUUGGCUUGUCCUAUCAUUGUGAGGCAGAAUUCAGCAAACGUUAGAUUGUUCACCGACUAAUAUGGAACAUGAGCUAGGCUUAGACCAUCAUGUGACAGGUUAGUUUUACCCUACUGAUGAUGUGUUGUUUGCAAUAGUAAUUCUGCUCAGUAUGAGAGGAACCACAUUUUUAGACAUGUGGUAUAUGUGCUUGGCUGAGGAGCCAAUGGGGUGUCGGUGUCAUCUGUGGGAUUAUGACAGCACAGUGGAGCCUUGGUUGCCCCUGGACUGGUGCAUAGAUUGGCUCGCCUCAGGAAUUGAGUGUGGACAGAAGGAGCAAAACUCUCUCAUCUGUAGUGCACCACAUUUUUUCGGGGACUGUGGUGCAUAAUCCUUAGUGGAUGACCUGAAUCUGGAUCAGGGUUUCAUAAGUAGCAGGACAACUACCUUGCUACAAUCUAUUGGAAGUCAUCCUCUGAGACAGUUUUUUUAUCAA